AGGAUCAUCAUUGAAAAAACUUGCACGGGUUGUUGCUGGNUNNAGGGCAUGUGCACACCUGUCAUCUUUAUUUCUCCAACUGUGNNNNGUAUUGUAGACCUGGAGUUUUUGAAACCGUUUCGAGUUGGGGAUUGCUGUGCUUCAGUUGAAGUGGGCUUUGCCUUACAUUUCUGGGUCUAUGUCAUUUCACAACCUCAUUGAGAAUGUCGAAUCUGUACCUAUAAAGUUAAAUAUACAACUUUCAGCAACGGAUCUCUUGGCUCUCGCAUCGAUGAAGAACGCAGCGAAAUGCGAUAAGUAAUGUGAAUUGCAGAAUUCAGUGAAUCAUCGAAUCCUUGAACGCAUCUUGCGCUCCUUGGUAUUCCGAGGAGCAUGCCUGUUUGAGUGUCAUUUAAGUCCCUCAACCACAUCGGAUUCGUCUUGAUGUGGCUUGGAUAAUGGGGGUGGUUUGCAGGCUUCUCUGAAGUCUGCUCCCCUGAAACGCAUUAGUGGUGUCUGAGCAGAACUACACAGGUGUGAUAAUUAUCUACAUCUUCGUAUGCUGCGAAAAUAAAACAGAUUGAGCCGCUUCCAACGAGUGAAGCCUCCCCCCCUCCCGGGGAGCCACGCAUUUGAUAAAUUUGACCUCAAAUCAGGUAGGACUACCCGCUGAACUUAAGC
Molecule: ribosomal RNA, 660 nt
Filed under: uncultured Cortinariaceae
Lineage: Eukaryota; Fungi; Basidiomycota; Agaricomycetes; Agaricales; Cortinariaceae
Description: eukaryotic LSU rRNA
Rfam family: 5.8S ribosomal RNA (bases 237-390)
Source: RNAcentral